Molecule: non-coding RNA, 200 nt
Organism: Caenorhabditis elegans
Lineage: Eukaryota; Metazoa; Nematoda; Chromadorea; Rhabditida; Rhabditidae
Source: Ensembl
AAAGAUAGCGUGGAAUUCGGGAUUUUUUGCGCCAAAAUUGAAAACUCGGCCUCUCGGGCUUUUUGACAGCUUUUUGCAAACAAUUGAUGGCGCAAGGGUAAAUGCUCAAGCAUUUUUCAAAAAGGCACUUUCAAUAAUCAAAUAGAUUUGAAAAAUAAAAUUAUUUUCGCUCGUUUUGGUUUAGAAAAAAACUACAUUCU